CCGGCGCCGACUGUGUUGUCCCGUCCUUCUCCCUCCUCUCCGGCGCCAAGCGACGUCCUCUCCUCCUCCCUCCUCUGCGGCGCAACCUCCUCUCUUACUCUCUCCUCUGCAGCGCCGACCGGGAGAGCCUUGAAGCAUUCGGCGUCCUCCGCACCCUCUCCUCCAACCGCUUCUCCCGACGAAUCUCCGGCCGAAGGGAAGACAAUGAAUCAUGACAAGAUAUAUGUUUGGAGAGGCUAGAUGGGUGUUUAGGUUGUUGCUCUGAAAAUCUUUGAAGGGCUUAAGAAUUGAUAUAAAGGUGUUCUAGAGAACAGCAGACAUAAAAUCCUGGGAAUGCAGCCAAAUUUCCAAGCAUUUGGAAGAUGCAUAAAUAUCAAGGCCUGAAGAGAAUUAGAUGAUUAACUAAUUGACUGCAUGCACACACAUCACAUAUAUCUUGAACAGGUGUCUAGUAUCAAGGAAUGUAAAACCCAAGAAAAACAUUCUAGCUAAACUGGGUGGCGUAAAUGAGAAUACAGCAUUUGCUGUUGAAUAUGAACACACUUAUUCAGAUGAUAACUUUGUGGUGCCAACCACUUGAAAUUUGCUUAACAUGAUAAUUUAAGUAACAACUGCCUCAACAACUGUAUGUAUGUUCAGAAAAACUAGCUACUGGUCCAGAGAUAUGAGACAUUUCAUACCACAGAGAGAGUUUAUAUAUUCGAGUGCACACAAAAGAAGGGGUUGGAGGGGGUUUUCAGCAAGAGUGAUAAAAGUUCGGUGAGAGGGGAAGUUAAUAAAAGUUUUCGAAACUAAUAAGGCAACAGAAAAGAAAUGCCUGAAGUGGAUUUACAUCAUGAUUAGAAGCAAGAAAAGAGCAUUGACUUGGUUCAACUAUUCAUAAAUGUUUGAAAAGAAUCUUGCGGUCUUACAAUGUUUAAAACACAGGUGAAACAGACAUAUUCUAUUGCAAUUCAUUUAGAUUUUAUUUAUUAUUUAACUAAUAUUGCUUCUUUUUGUGCAUACGAGGUAACAACAUGCCGCGAGGAAAACGAUUCAGAGAUGUUGAGUUUCAGCACACAUCCGUGGGAUCUUCUUUCGAUCAGUCCCAACAGCCCGACGAGCCCCAGCAGCACGAGUCUCAAUCUGCGCACGUGCCACCUGUUGAUUGUCCAGACAUGGAUGACGUGCACAUCCAGGGUUCCUGAUACUUCAACAGCUCGCAGAGAUGAUGAUGGGGCUGAAUGCGGUCCCUGAUAUUUUUUAGACUGUUAUUUAAUGAGUUUUAUAUGUAUCUUUCUUAUAUUUUUUAAAAUACAUUGUAAUUCUAAACUUAUGUAAAUUUAAUCUUAUAUGACAAU
Non-coding RNA from Phoenix dactylifera (date palm), 1340 nucleotides. NCBI's taxonomy places the organism in Eukaryota, Viridiplantae, Streptophyta, Magnoliopsida, Arecales, Arecaceae. The record is from RefSeq and is a predicted model, not a curated record.